This 1926-nucleotide long non-coding RNA is filed under the name Rhinopithecus bieti (black snub-nosed monkey). Its description in RNAcentral is "lncRNA (ENSRBIG00000045482.1)". The record is from RNAcentral. Lineage: Eukaryota; Metazoa; Chordata; Mammalia; Primates; Cercopithecidae.
CCUGCUGCUCCCUCACCCCACAGGAUCCCAGCCCUGCUGCGAGGACAGGUGUCAGGCAGGGGGCAGUGUUGACCUGCCGGCCCCAGGCAGGUGGCUCACGCCCAGGCCAGAACCCUGGCACAGCCCAACCCUGCCCUCUGCCGGCACUGCCCCUCCACAUCACGCCCCUGCUCACUGCCAUGUCCUCUGGCCACACAGGUAGGACCACCGGGCAGCUGCCACCUGCAUGCCGUUCACAGAACCUGGUCCGGGGCGCUCCUCUGAGCCAGCCGCCUCUUUAUCCCUUACAGUGACCCUGAAGGGCGGCGGAGGCGGGGCUGGUCUCAGGUCUGGGCUUUACGCUCUGCUGCCACUGUCUUGACAUUUUAAAUACAUUUUGAAUCAGGGGACUCUCAUUUUCAUUUUGCGUGGGCUCCGCCAUUGAGGCCAAAUCCGACGCCAGAGGCGGUACUUCCUGCUGUAACCACCCCAGGACGCAGCUGGGGGGCAGGGGCGCGGGAAGGUGGGAGACCUGGAGCAGCCGGGGUCCCCGGGGUCCUCUCGGCCGGCUUCACCCCCACCCCUGGGAACCCGGGAAGAGCCGGCUUUCGCUUCCUGUCUAUUAAACCCUUUAAAGGAAGAGGGUAAAUAAAACCGCCCGUCUGCCCAGCUGGAAAGCGAUGACUCAGCCGCCCCGCCGACCCUCGCCCCAGGCUGAUCCCAGAGAGCGGGCGUCGCGGCCCAGCCCGGACCCCUCGGCUCCCGGGACCUCUCUCCGGUCCAGGUCGUGGGGACGCGGUCGGAGCAGUCCGUCCCCCAGUUCGGGACACCGCGAGGGCGCAGGGAGGAGAGCCGGCUUCCUCUUCCCCUCCCAUGUACUGAGCUCUAUGGGUUGCUGUUCUAGCCCUUUCCACGUGUUCCCUAAUCCGGCGAAGGUUACUGUUCCCCCUGGGAAGGGCCCCCGAAGAGGACGGAACGGCCAGCGCUCGGGAUCCUACGCCCGGCACGCCAUGAAGUCCCCCGACGAGGUGCUACGCGAGGGCGAGCUGGAGAAGCGCAGCGACAGCCUCUUCCAGCUAUGGAAGAAGAAGCGCGGCGUGCUCACCUCCGACCGCCUGAGCCUGUUCCCCGCCAGCCCCCGCGCGCGCCCCAAGGAGCUGCGCUUCCACUCCAUCCUCAAGGUGGACUGCGUGGAGCGCACCGGCAAGUACGUGUACUUCACCAUCGUCACCACGGACCACAAGGAGAUCGACUUCCGCUGCGCGGGCGAGAGCUGCUGGAACGCGGCCAUCGCGCUGGCGCUCAUCGAUUUCCAGAACCGCCGCGCCCUGCAGGACUUUCGCAGCCGCCAGGAACGCACCGCACCCGCCGCGCUCGCCGCACCCGCCGAGGCCGCCGAGGCCGCCGUGGCCGCCGCACCCUCCGAGCCCUCCGGGCCAUCUCCGCAGCCCAAGCCCCGCACGCCAUGAGCCCGCCGCUGGCCAUACGCUGGACGAGUCGGACCGAGGCCAGGACGUGGCCGGCGCUCUCCAGCUCCGCAGCAGCAGAACUUCCCGUGCGCGCGGAUCCUUGCUCCGUUGCACGGGCGCCUUAAGUUAUUGGACUAUCUAAUAUCUAUGUAUUUAUUUCACUGGUUCUUUGUAGUCACAUAUUUUAUAGUCUUAAUAUCUUGUUUUUGCAUCACUGUGCCCAUUGCAAAUAAAUCACUUGGCCAGUUUGCUUUUCUACCAUUCGGCUGUGGCUCAGUGAGGUUCCUGCUGGGAGGGUGGAGGCCCAGGAAUGGGUGGGCAGGACACCCUCAUCCAGUCCUGCGGGGCUGGCGUGAAAGGCGCUGGGAACCGGCUUUGAAUGAAUAAAUGAAUCGUCUCAUCUGCUGAGCCUGGUCCACACCCUCUUUUCUAAGUAGCCUCCCCAGAGGCCAGGAAGUGCCCUGGGGCUUGACCCUGG